Molecule: ribosomal RNA, 445 nt
Filed under: uncultured bacterium
Lineage: Bacteria
Description: bacterial SSU rRNA
Rfam family: Bacterial small subunit ribosomal RNA
Source: RNAcentral
CCUACGGGUGGCAGCAGUGGGGAAUAUUGGUCAAUGGGCGCAAGCCUGAACCAGCAACGCCGCGUGAGGGAUGAAGGCCUUCGGGUUGUAAACCUCUUUCAGCAGGGACGAAGCGCAAGUGACGGUACCUGCAGAAGAAGCACCGGCUAACUACGUGCCAGCAGCCGCGGUGAUACGUAGGGUGCAAGCGUUGUCCGGAUUUAUUGGGCGUAAAGAGCUCGUAGGCGGUCCACCACGUCGAAUGUGAAAACUCGGGGCUUAACCCCGAGCCUGCAUUCGAUACGGGUGGACUCGAGUGUGGUAGGGGAGACUGGAAUUCCUGGUGUAGCGGUGGAAUGCGCAGAUAUCAGGAGGAACACCGAUGGCGAAGGCAGGUCUCUGGGCCAUUACUGACGCUGAGGAGCGAAAGCGUGGGGAGCGAACAGGAUUAGAUACCCCUGUAGUC